CUUGCCUACGGGGGGCAGCAGUGAGGAAUAUUGGUCAAUGGGCGGAAGCCUGAACCAGCCAAGUCGCGUGAGGGAAUAAGGCCCUACGGGUCGUAAACCUCUUUUGCCGGGGAGCAAGGGCCGGGACGCGUCCCGGCCCGGAGAGUACCCGGAGAAAAAGCAUCGGCUAACUCCGUGCCAGCAGCCGCGGUAAUACGGAGGAUGCGAGCGUUAUCCGGAUUUAUUGGGUUUAAAGGGAGCGUAGGUGGAUUGUUAAGUCAGUUGUGAAAGUUUGCGGCUCAACCGUAAAAUUGCAGUUGAAACUG
RNAcentral lists this ribosomal RNA (305 nucleotides) under uncultured bacterium. RNAcentral describes it as "bacterial SSU rRNA". It matches the Rfam family "Bacterial small subunit ribosomal RNA", at positions 334 to 635 of the family's 1533-position model. The record is from RNAcentral.